Molecule: non-coding RNA, 79 nt
Organism: Bradyrhizobium erythrophlei
Lineage: Bacteria; Pseudomonadati; Pseudomonadota; Alphaproteobacteria; Hyphomicrobiales; Nitrobacteraceae
Source: Rfam
UAUCGCUGCCCUCCUUGGGCGUUUCCUCCCUAGACUUGGGCCGCUUGUGGCAACGCAGGCGGCCUUUCUUUUUGUGCGC